AAUUUAGCAAUUCUCACUAGGCAAGUGUUUCACUCAAUCACUCAAGUGUUUGAGGUAGCACUCCAACUCUCUAUCAUUCACAAGUCACAUGAAACAAAAUUGCCAUUCAUCUAAAACAACCAAAAUUCUUACAUGCAAAUGCCAUCAAAAGGACUUUUCCAAGGCUUGUAAUGAGGCUGGGCUAACAAGAAAAUUGGUCUUUCUAGAAUGCAAAGUCCUUGAGUUAAGAGAGCUAUCAUAAUAUUCUACAUUCAAGAACAACUCUCUUCCUCACCAAUCUCACUCAUUCCCAACUUUUCCCCUUUUCUUUUGCAUUGAGCCCAUCUUCACGCUUUUCUUCUUUUCUUUUCAUUUUCUCAUGUAUAUUUCUUUCACAACAUUGGAGCACAAUGCUUUCUCAAUUGCCUUUCAGUUUCCCC
RNAcentral lists this long non-coding RNA (419 nucleotides) under Vigna radiata. RNAcentral describes it as "long non-coding RNA (VRAD_LNC016737)". The record is from RNAcentral. Lineage: Eukaryota; Viridiplantae; Streptophyta; Magnoliopsida; Fabales; Fabaceae.